AAAAAAACACCUCCAAAAAACAAAAAAACCUCCUCCAAAACAAAGAACAAUCCUUCUCCAAAAAACCAAAAACCUACCCCCAAAAACAAAGUCUUGAAUGGCUUUUAUAGCCAAAUUUUACAAGUGGAGUGGUUGGGGUGGUUUAGGUGGCCAAGGGUGGUGGAGUUGGGAUUGAUGGUCAGUGAAAGAGGAAUUGAGAUUGAUCCUGACAAAGUAAGAGCAAUACCCUAAACCACUCCACUUGUAAAAUUUGGCUAUAAAAGCCAUUCAAGACUAUUUUUUUAGGGGGUGGGUUUUUGGUUUUUUCGAGAAGGAUUAUUCUUUGUUUUGGAGGAGGUUUUUUUGUUUUUUGGAGGUGUUUUUUUGUUUUUUUGGAAAAAAAGUUAUUUUUAUUUAUUGGAAAGGCUAGUUUUUGGAGAUUAAUCAAAGAUCAAAACAAAAGAGGUUUCUUUUGUCUAUUCUUAUCUUUAGUUCUUUGUUUGUUUAUUGUUUUCCUUUUAAUUUUAUUUUGUUUUUUUAUACGAAAGUAAAAAUAAAAGUAAGAAGCUUACCCAUAUUUUCAUUAUCGAAAAAAGUUUUUUGAGGUCCGACCGCCGUGUACGGUGGCGCCGAUGGCGGCCCGUGGGGGUCCAUGACCGAAGCAAAGCCGGACCAACGGCCGAAUUUAGAAAAGAGGGAGAAAGAGAGUUGAGAGCUUUGUUUUAUUAUUUUAUUAUUUAUAUUAUUAUUAUUAUUUCUCAUGUAUAUAUUAUUUUUUAUAUUAUUAUAUUAUAUAUGCCCUCUCCAUAUUUAUUUAUAUUAUUACUAUCAUUAUUGUUACUUUUAUUAUUUUUUAUUUCUAACUACUAUUAUUAUAUAUAUGUAUUAUUGUUUGUAUUAUUAUUAUUAUCACCCCUAUUGUUAUUACUUUACUUUUGUAUUCUAAUAUAUUAUUAAUAUUACUUAUAUUUUUAUUAUUUUUGCUAUCACUAUUACUAUUAUAUAUUAGUGUAUAUUUUUAUGUAUAUAUAUAUUUUAUAUAUAGUAUUAUUUUUUAUUACUUUAAUUUAAUAUUUUUAUUAUAUUUGCUUUUUGUAUUUCUAUAUUUAUUAUUAUAUAGUAGUGUGUAUUUCUAUUAUAUACAUAUAUAUAUAUACAUUUAUAUAUAGUAUUAUUGUUUACUUUACUUUAAUAUUAUUCUUAUUAUCAUUAUAUCCAACCCAAUAAUAAUUCUUUCAUAAAAGUAAUAUUCCGUAUUUGGUAAUUCGAGACAAUCGUGCCCUAACUUAUUGGGUUUCGAUUUUUCUCCUUUAACCUAAAUAACGGAGUACUCUUUUAAAUCGUGACAUGAGUUUUGAAAAAUGCUUAUUCUCGGAGAUACGAGGUGUUGUUCCCUAACUUACUGGGUAUGGCAUUUCGUUACCUCGAAAUAAGAUUUUUGCAAGUAAAGGCAAUAUUCGGUGUUUGGGAAUUCGAGGAAACGUGCCCUAACUUACUGGGUUUCGAUUUUCCUCGUUCACCUUAACUAACUGAAUAACCUUUUGAAAUACACGAUUUUUAUAUAAAAGGCAAGCUCGUUCUCGAAAAUUCAAGGUGUCGUGUCCUAACUUACUGGAUGUGAAAUUUUAUAUUGUGAGACGAGAAGGUCCUUAACAUUUGAGCAUUUUCUUUACAAAGAGGGAUCGUAUUUUAAAUUCUUUUAAGUUUUCAAAUUUUCGACACUAAGACACUAAUUAAUCAACUAGGUACCAAUUUUGGGCGUAUCGAGGGUGCUAAUCCUUCCUCGUGCGUAACCGACUCCCGAACUCAUUUUUCUGAAUUUCGUAGACCAAAAUCGUUGUUUUAAUAAAAUUAAAUCAUUUAUUAAAAACCACUUUUUGAGGUGACCCAAUCACACCUCGUCAAAAAAGGAUUGGUGGCGACUCCCGUUUUCAUUCUUUUUUUUCAAAAUCCAAGUCGACCCCGUUUUUCAAUCCGAAAAAUGGUGUCAACAGCUUGGCGACUCCGCUGGGGACUUUUUCAAAAUAAGUGAGUCAAGCCACGAGUUGAUUAUUUUUUGUCUUUUUGUCGAAAUUUGAUUUAAAUAUACGAUCUUCUCAUUGCAUUUCAUUUGUUUUGAGCUAUAAUUUUCAUCAUGUUUCGUAUUUUAAACUUUUAUAUCUUUGCAUUGCAUUGCAUGACCGUUGGUCACACCUUUUAAGUGGGAGUGAAAAGCUACUCCUUCGUGAGGUUUUCACCUCCGUGCAGGAUAGUGGAUCGCUUUCGGGAUACAUCCGUACCUAUGUCUUCGUGAGAUUUUUAUCUCCGUGCAGCCAUAGGGAAAUGUAUUCCCCUGAACCGAACUCGGUCUAUAUGAGCCUAUAAUGGGUGAAGAUCGAGGAAUCUGCUGGUUCGGGUACCUUUGCUUUAGAACCAAACCCCAUGUAGUAAACCUUAGGAACUCACCUUAAGUAGAACUACACCAAACCCUAGUAGAUACCCUGAUGUGCUUUUAUUCUUUUUGAAUUGUCUUGGAUUAUAUGUUUAUAUCUGGUACUGAUAUUUGUUGUUUUACUUUGGAUGCAUGACAUUUCAACUGCAUGGCAUUUUAUUAUUUCAAGGCGUUGGUUCAUAUUCGAUUUCUAGAAAGAAAGCUUAUCAUGGAAAGAAGGUUUCUUGAUAAGGUGGAAGAUAAUGCGGCAGUCCGAAUUUGGUCGGAAACGACACAGCAAGAGAAAGGGGAUAGUUUGGCUGAAGGAUAUAUAUCAGAGCUAUGGGACUUUACCCGCAUCAGCAUAACCCAGAACGAUUUACAAGAGUUGAAAGGAAUUUAGGACCAUUGGGACGAGGAGGCCAGAAAGUUGUUUUAUUCCCAUUACGGGGACUUGCCGUACCUGCUAGAUAUGAAGGUAGAUAAGCACCUAUUCCGGGCUCUCGCACAAUUUUGGAAUCCCGCCUAUAGUUGUUUUUCGUUCAGGAAAGUUGACUUGGUGCCUACGAUAGAAGAAUAUAUGGCUUUACUUCGGUGUUCAAAGAGUCAAGUCGACAGAAUCUACUCAAGAGCCGCAAAUGUACCCUUUUUGAGAAGGUUAAUGAACAUAACAGGCAUAAGUGAGCAGUGGGUUACGGCCCGAAUUAAACAAAAAGGGGAUAACAAGUGCAUUUCUUGGAGGAGUUUGAAAGAUGUGGGUUUGGUGCACCCGGAUAUAAAAAAGAGGGUAGAUAUCUUCGCCCUAAGCAUAUAUGGCUUAGUUAUCUUUCCUAGAGCUUUGGGGCAUAUUGAUGAGGCGGUUACUGAUUUGUUCGACCGCCUUGAUAAAGGAGUUACCCCGGUUCCAGCAAUUUUAGCGGAGACAUUCAGCUCAUUGAGUACCUAUCGGCGAGCGGGCGAAGGCAGGUUCAUUGGAUGUGCACAGUUGUUACUUGCGUGGUUCCACAGUCAUUUUUGGAAAGUGGACAAAGUGUCAUAUCGGGUCUUCUCUGAAAACUAUUCGCCGUUAAAGAAGAUGAUAGCUACACCAAGAAGGGACGACAUUUUAAUGGAAAAAUGGAUGGCAAUUCUUCAAAACUUACAUGAAGAAGACAUUGAAUGGAGAGCUCCGUGGUUACUUCCAGACGAAAUUUUGUACCGAUGCGGUAGUUUUGAUUGGGUCCCUUUGCUUGGAAUCUGGGGAGCUAUUGGCUAUGCCCCGUUAUUAGUGCUCAGACAGUACAGAUCAAGACAAUUUAUACCCGCAACCCAGGGGCUGGCCGAGUGUGAAUUCUCGUAUGGGGGUGAUGGCUACAAAAAGAGGAUUCGAGAGAUAUCCAAUGCGUGGAAUCAGACUCGCCAAAUGAAGCGAUUAGCUGUAGGACCAAUGACAACCCCCGAAUAUGAAGAAUGAAGGGUCAGCAGAAUCAAUGACAAUAUCCCCAAAUCAAGCCCCGAAGGCAGUCAUUCGAUAGAGGAGCACUUACGGGUCAUCCCUUCUGAACUAAAAAUUUUAAAGCAAGAUUUUGAAAGAAGAAAUGCAAAGUUGGAAAAACAGAUAGAGCAAAUGGAGGAAGAAAAAACAAACUUAAGGUUGGAUGUAGAUGUCCAGAAGCUCGAGAUGGAACGAUUAAGAAAAGGAAAAGCUAGGGCUGAAGAAGAUCUGGACAGUCUAAAAACAGAUUACAAGAAGUUGCGAUCAUCAAUGAGAACCGCCGGGUUGGGAAAGACUUCUAAACAAUGGCGCAAGGAAGUUCAAGAAGAAAAGAACAAAGCUGAUAGAUGGGAAACGAGGUUUCAAGAAGUUCAAACCCAGAACGAGACUUUAAAGAAGAGUCUAUCAGAGAAUCAGAAAGAAAAAAGGGAACUAGAAAAUAGAGUGUCCGAGUUAGAAGAAUCUCUCCAUCGGCAUCGAAAUCGAAAUUCUGUGAUGGAAUUAAAAGCAAGCCUAAGUAGAAUUGAAGAGAUGAAACGAAGAAUUGAAGAGUUAGAAGCAGCAUUGCGAAGUUGCGAGAUGCGGAUUGAGCACAUGAGAUCUAAUGAAGAUCGUCAAACCAAGCAGUUGCACUACUUUCAGAACCAAGUAAGAGAUAGAGAUCAAAUCAUGGGAGAAGCCGUGCUUCAAAUCCGAGAGGUGGCUGAUCACUUGCAGACGUUAGCAGUACAAGCUGAUGUGUUAAGCGUGAAGUACGAAUUAGAGUCGAGUCGAGGACAGGAGCUAGCCUCGUUGCUUAGGAGGAUUAGAAUUUUGAGUUUUAGGGCUAAGUUGUAUAUGUAAUCCACCUUAUGUAAAAAAGUUUAUUUUCUAGUAAAGUUUUCAUAAUGAAAUUGAACUAGAAUUAACGCCUUUUGCAUUCAUUUCAUGCAUUGCAUUAUAUGCAUUAAUGACCAUUAAAAGACCCUAACUAAAUAAAAUUAUUUCAGUUAACCUGGAAAAUCGUCACUCUUACGAAACUCGAGCGAAGUCAAGAAACAUGGAUCAAAGACUAGAAAAACUUGAGCAGCUCCAAAGAGAUAUGCAAGAUCAAAUAAAAGAGCGGUUGGAAAAGAUUCAGCGAGAGAUGCGAGAAUCCCAAGACGACAUGAUGGCAAAGUUAACGCAACUGUUGAAAGGAGGAAAAGACAAGGGAAAGGACCCUAUUGUUAAUGUUGAAGAUGGAAAUAGUGAUGAACCCCUUUACCCUCCAGGCUUUACCCCUCUGCACGCGCAUACUCAAGCUGAAAUGUAUCCACAAAGACCCUCGAUGACGUGGCAGAAGUGGAAAAGACGAAAAUGGAUCUGUCAAAGCAAUUGGAAGACCGAUGUAAAUGGCUGGAGGAAAAGUUUAAGGCCAUGGAAAGUGCUGAUUACCACCGAGGAAUGGACGCUAAAGAUCUGAGCUUGAUGACUGAUUUAAUCCUCCCUCUUAAGUUUAAAAUGCCAGAGUUUGAAAAAUAUGACGGGACAAGUUGCCCCGAUGCUCAUAUCACUAUGUUUUGCCGAAGAAUGACCGGGUACAUCAACAACGAGCAGCUGUUGGUUCACUAUUUUCAGGAUAGUUUGAUCGGGUCAGCUGCUAGAUGGUACAAUCAAUUGAGUCGAGCUGAAAUCCACUCUUGGAAAGAUUUGGCGCAGGCCUUUAUAAAACAGUACAGACAUGUGAUGGACAUAGCACCCGAUCGAAUUGUAUUACAAAAUAUGGAAAAGAAAACUAAUGAGAGCUUUCGCUAGUAUGCUCGAAGAUGGAGGGAGGUAGCAGCACAAGUUGGGUAGUGCCACCAAAAGCUUUUCAGACAUAGUGAUGUCUGGAGAAAUGAUAGAAAAUGCCAUAAGGAGUGGCAAGAUAGAAGCAGGAGAAAGUACUAAAAGGUCAACACCGAGAAAGAAGGAGCAUGAGAUAAACAACACAAGCAUGUUUAACAAGGACCAUUCUAGAUCAAUCACGGUGGGACAAGCCAGAGCAACAACCACUAAUCAGCAAGGUUCUUCGAGACGGGAGUCCAAUUCAAGGCCAAAUAUAGAAAGACCUCAAUUCACACCCAUCCCGGUGACGUAUAAAAAAUUAUAUCAAAAUUUAUUUAAUGCAUAUGUGGUAUCUCCAUUUUACCUAAAACCCAUGCAACCUCCGUACCCCAAAUGGUAUGACACAAACUCCCAAUGCGAGUACCACGCGGGGAUUAAUGGGCACUCGAUUGAGAACUACACUGCAUUCAAGAAGUUAGUGGAAAAACUUAUCAAUAUGGGGAUCGUAAAGAUUGGCGACUCAUCAGGGCCAAAUGUAGCAGAAAAUCCGUUGCCCAAUCAUGACGAUAAUAGGGUAAACGCGAUAAGUGAGAAUGAAGGAAGAAGAGUCAAAGCCAACGUGGCAGAGAUAAAAACUCCUCUUGGAUGGGUUUGGAAACAAAUGGUAAAAAGAGGUCUUAUCAAGCAAGAUUCGAUAGAAAGGCCUGAACAAGCAAAGAGAUUUUGUGAGUUCCACGCAGAAGAUCAUGACAUCCAGGAAUGCACCGAGUUCAGAAUAGAAAUACCUCUUUUAAUUGGCCCAAAUACAUACGAUUUGGACUUCCUAGUGAUGGAUAUCAAGCCGUCAUAUAAUUGCUUAUUAAGAAGACUCUGGAUUCAUUCGGCAGGGGCGGUGCCUUCAUCAUUGCACCAGAAGUUAAAAUUGGUAAUAGAAGGCCGGUUAAUUACAAUUGACGCCGAGGAAGAUAUCAUUGCAUUGGUAACCAAUGAUACACCAUAUUUGGGAAUAGACGACGAGGCAGUUGAAUGUUCUUUUCGAUCUUUGAAGUUCGUAAAUGCAACCUUUGUCAUAGGGGGAAAGAAGAUUCCGACGCCCAGCAUGUCUAAAGCCACAAGAAUGGGAUUACAAGCGACAGUUGGGAAAGGAGCUGUGCCUGGAAGAGGACUUGAAAGAUGCCUUCAGGGAAGGAUGGGGGCACCAGUAGUGAAAUACAAACAAGGUCGUUUUGGUUUAGGAUUUAAACCAAAUACCAAACAGAGAAGGAAAGAGUUAAAAAAGAGACAAGAUAGAAGGAAGGCGCGUUUGAACGGAAAAGAAGUCGACUAAGAACCUAUGGCUUUCCCCCACAUAUCAAGGACAUUCAUGUCGGGAGGAACUAUGUAUUCUGAACUGAGGGCUCCAAGAAAGAAGACCGCAGAGAAAAUGUUAAGAAACUUAAGCAUCAAUGCCAUAUGUGAAGAAGAAUUUGAAGGAGGAAGUACGUCAGGAAUCUAUCCCGUUGAACCUGGGAGUGUUUUAAACAACUGGACUGCGGAAGAAAUGCCUGAGGUUUUUAGAGCUUUUCCAGAGUAAUAUUCAAAACAUUAAUUGUUCUAAGCCUAGAGAAAAUGAAAACUUUUAUAAACUGAAAUAGGCUUAUAUGUGGACAUUGUGAUUUCAAUAAAAUAUAUCUUCGCAUUUUGAGUAUAUAUUCUUUUCAAAUUCUUUUUUUCAUACGAAUAGUUAUCUUGAAUGCUUUUAUUCCGAAUCAUUCUUUUAUUCAUUUUCAUACUAAAUAAGAAUCCUUAAAUUCAUACAUUCCCUAUACAUUCUUUGAUACCUAUAACAGGUCUCAAGAUAUCAAUGAUAUGAGUGACUCUACUAUGAACUUAGAAAAUCUUUUUGAACGAGAUAUUUGUCCAGAGGAAUCUCAAGAUUUUGAAGAUAACACAGAUUGCAACCUAUCUCCGGACUUGUUGAGAAUGGUAGAGCAGGAAGAGAAACAGAUUCUACCCCACGAAAAGACGAUAGAGACAGUGAUCUUGGAAGAGGGAAAGGUGUUAAAGAUUGGUACCCGCAUAGCUGAAAAAGUUAAACAAGACCUCAUUGAAUUGCUGCGAGAGUUCAAAGAUGUCUUCGCAUGGUCAUACCAAGAUAUGCCGGGGUUAAGUACUGACAUCGUAGUUCACCGACUUCCUAUAAAGGAGAAUUGCAAACCAGUUCAGCAAAAACUCCGAAGAAUGAGGCCUGAUAUCGUGUUAAAAAUAAAAGAAGAGGUGCAAAAGCAAUUCGACGCUGGGUUCCUGAAGGUGGUCAAAUACUCCGAGUGGGUAGCUAACAUUGUUCCUGUCCCUAAGAAAGAUGGGAAGGUACGAAUGUGUGUGGAUUAUAGAGAUCUAAAUAAGGCUAGCCCAAAAGAUAACUUUCCCUUGCCACAUAUCGACGCCUUGGUAGACAAUACAGCAGGACAUUCGCUGUUUUCUUUCAUGGAUGGCUUCUCGGGAUAUAACCAAAUUAAGAUGCAUCCCGAGGAUAUGAGGAAAGCUACGUUCAUAAUCCUAUGGGAAACUUUUUGUUAUAAGGUGAUGCCAUUUGGGUUGAAAAAUGCAGGGGCAACGUAUCAGAGGGCCAUGGUAAUACUGUUCCAUGACAUGAUGCAUAAAGAGUUAGAAGUCUAUGUUAAUGACAUGAUUGCAAAAUCUAAAACAAAAAAGGAACAUGUGCAGGUCCUUAAGAAAUUAUUUACGAGAUUGAAAAAAUUUCAGCUAAAGCUAAAUCCAGCAAAAUGCACAUUCGGGGUCAGAUCAAGAAAAUUGCUUGGAUUCGUGGUCAGUGAAAGAGGAAUUGAGAUUUACCCCCGCCGCGUACUCAAAAGGAGGUUCGAGAUUUUCUAAGAAGGCUUAACUAUAUUGCUCGGUUCAUCUCACAACUAACUGAGAAAUGCGACCCCAUAUUUCGCCUCCUCAAGAAACAUAAUCCAGGUGUAUGGGAUGAGGAAUGUCAAAAAACAUUUGAAAAAGUCAAACAUUACUUAUCCAACGCCCCAGUAUUGAUGCCACCCUGCCCAGACAAACCGCUCAUACUGUAUUUGGCAGUAUUUGAAAAUUCCAUGGGAUGCGUGCUUGGUCAACAUGACGAAUCUGGACGAAAGGAAAGAGCUAUCUACUAUCUCAGUAAGAAGUUCACCGAAUGCGAAACAAGAUAUUCGCCAAUCGAGAAAUUAUGUUGUGCUUUAAUUUGGACAACUCAGAGACUGAGACAGUACAUGUACCAUAUGACCUGGUUAAUCUCCAAAUUAGACCUUCUGAAAUACUUGAUGGAGUCAGCCGCUCUGAAUGGAAGAAUGGCUCGAUGGCAAAUUCUUUUAUCUGAAUUUGACGUAGUCUAUGUGAAACAGAAGGCGGUCAAAUGGAGUGCAAUAGCGGAAUUCCUAGCAAGUAGGGCUCUCGAUGAUUAUGAGCCAUUGAACUUCAAUUUCCCAAAUGAGGAUUUGAUGUAUGCCGCAACCGUAAAGAAAGAUUUCCAAGAAGGUGGUCCUUGGAAGUUGAGUUUUGACGGAGCUUCAAAUGCUAUAGGCAACGGAAUUGGGGCAGUACUCGUGUCCCCUAGUAGAGAUUAUUAUCCUUUCACUAGCAAAUUGGACUUUGACUGCACAAAUAAUAUGGCUGAGUAUGAAGCUUGCAUUAUGGGCACUCGGGCAGCCAUAAAGCGAAAAAUUAAGGUGCUAGAGGUAUACGGGGACUCUGCAUUAGUAAUUUACCAGCUCAAGGGGGAAUGGGAAACAAGAGACCCGAAGUUGGUUCGCUAUCGAAAAUUGGUUAUGGAAUUGAUCGAGGAAUUUGAUAGUGUCACCUUUAGUUACCUCCCACGAGAUGAAAACCAGAUGGCAGAUGCUUUGGCCACUUUAGCCUCCAUGUUUAAAGUGAACAAAUUAGAAGAUAUGAAGCCUAUCCAGAUCAGCAUCUAUGAGGCUCCAGCCCAUUGUUGCAACAUUGACAAUGAAGAGGGAAAGGAUGAUCACCCUUAGUACCAUGACAUAUUGCGAUAUGUGAAGAGUCGCGAGUACCCUGACCAUGCGACAGAAAAUGAUAAGAAGACAUUAAGGAGAUUAGCCAUUGACUAUGUCCUUGAUGGGGAAAUUUUGUAUAAAAAAGGAAAAGAUCAAGUACUGUUAAGGUGUGUGGAUGCUGUUGAGGCAAAGGAAAUUUUGGAAGAAGUGCAUGAAGGUAUCUGCGAAACGCAUGCCAAUGGCUUCACGAUGGCCAGACAAAUUAUGAGAUUUGGGUACUAUUGGUCCACCAUGGAAGGGAAUUGCAUUAAUUAUGCCAAAAGGUGCCAUAAAUGUCAAAUUUAUGGUGACAAAAUGCACGCACCACCUUCACCCCUUCAUGUUAUGGUUUCUCCAUGUAGGGAAUGGACGUUAUCGGGCCAAUAUCUCCAAAAGCUUCCAAUGAGCAUCGUUUUAUCUUUGUGGUUAUUGAUUACUUCACUAAAUGGGUGGAGGCGGCUUCAUAUGCAAAUGUCACGAAGUCGGCAGUUAGGAAGUUUCUGAAAAAAGAGAUCAUAUGUCGAUACGGGAUGCCUGAAAGGAUCAUAUCCGAUAAUGCGCUGAACUUAAACAACUCAAUAGCGGAAGUUUGUAGUCAGUUCAAGAUCAGACACCACAAUUCGUCACCGUACCGUCCAAAAAUGAAUGGUGCCGUGGAAGCAGCUAACAAAAACAUCAAGAAAAUUAUAGGAAAAAUGACUAAAAUCUACAAAUAUUGGCACGAGAAAUUACCUUUUGCUCUCCUGGCAUAUCGCACUUCUGUUAGAACCUCUACCGGGGCAACACCAUUUUCUUUAGUCUAUGGGAUGAAAGCAGUUUUACCCAUAGAAGUUGAAAUUCCUUCUCUCCGAGUAUUAACUGAACUAAAGUUGGAUGAGGCUAAAUGGAUUCAAUCCAGAUAUGACCAGUUAAACUUGGUAGAAGAAAAGAGGUUAAAAGCUUUCGUCAUGGUCAGAUGUAUCAGAAACGAAUGAUGCGAGCUUACAACAAAAAAGUUCGUCCCAGAGAAUUUUACGAGGGGGACCUGGUGCUGAAAAAGAUUCUUCCUCUACAAAAGGAUUUUAGAGGAAAGUGGAUGCCAAAUUGGGAAGGUCCUUAUGUGAUAAAAAAGACCUUUUCAGGAGGAGCUUUAAUCCUGAGCGAAAUGGAUGGUAAAAGCCUGUCAAAUCUUGUAAAUUUUAGACUCAGUCAAGAAGUAUUUCACUUAAAAAGGGGGCAUUCAAAAAAAAAAGAAGAGGCCAAGGUGAAAACCCGCAAAAGGCACCUUGAGAACAAAUGGGAUUUGAGUUGAAAACCUGAAAAAGGCGGCUCAAAUUUUGAAAAAGCGUGAGGUAAAUGGAACGGCUCGAAUUUUUAAGCAGGAUCUGAGGCAUGUGGUGGUCUUACUACACCUGAAUCGCAAGGAGUAGGUGACAUCUUGGGGUAUCGACAAAAUACUGUAGAUUCCAAACACAUAUUAAAUGGUCUUUAGAAAACUUGUGCAGGGAAGCUCGUGCUGCGAUAUCUGGGGCACCUGUUGUCAUAUUAUACUUUGAAUCUUGGCAAAAUUUGUUGUCUUGAUUAUUGUAUUCAGUUCAAGCUUUGCUCCCCAAUAAAAUUUCAUUCUUAUUUCAUUUUUUAUCUUAGCAAAAUUUGCUAUCUCGAUUAACUCAUUCAUCUCGAGAUUUGUUCUCAAUAACAUUUGUUUGUUCGUUGUGGUAACCUUCUCGAAAAACAUUUAGAAUAACUAUUAAUAAACUGAAUGUUCAAGCAUUUGGAGUUUUGCAUAUUACUUUAGAAAUUUCUAAAUAAUGAAGGAGCCUGAAACAGAACUGUUGUUUAGAGCACACCAAAUUCAAAGUGUCCAAAAAGGAAGAGUCCAAGUCGGGACUAUCCUUUCAAAUUUUGUUGUCCAAACAUUGAACAAAAUGACAAGAUGUCGUGUUGGUGGCAAAGCUUCAAUGAACAAACAAGCGAUGUUCACCAAGUAAUAAGAAAAGGUUUUCUCGGAGAAGGAAAUCUUGCAUUUGUACAUAAACAUUUGGUAUGACACCUUGGGAAUGGUGUAGGAGAUCAAAGAGUUUCACAUUCUGUAUCCUUGAAUUGUGAUAGCAGAGGAUCAAGAAAAAGCCUUAUCCUUCUACCCUUAGUUUACGGUGGGAGAUUGAUGGUACAAAUUUUAUGUCCCAGUGGAUUAAACUUUGACGUUCGCAGUGGGGGCAAUCUGACUAAGUGUUUCUUUGGAUAUGCCAGCCGAGCAAGAAGGCGUUGUAACACGUCAGUGAUAAAACAUGAGCAAUGACAACUCAAACAUUAAAAAUGGAUCAUUCUCAUGACAUUCUGCAUUCAUUCAUACACAUCUAGUUAGAAGCAUUUGAUUCAUUCUGAUCAUGCCAUCCUAAACACUAGGCAUAAAUAGGUCCAUAAAAUGAAUUUUACAGGUCAUAUUCCCCAGAGAACAGAUCAAAAAAACAGAUCUCAUACCCUUGAAGUUGCAAUGGGAGGGAUUGAAGUCAUUAAAGUAGAUCUUGUCUUCAUGUAUUGACGUGAAGCAGAUUGAAGAUAGCAGGUCCUAUCUUCCUAUAUUGAUAGGAAGUGGAUCCAGGAUGCAGAUCUUGUCUUCCCAUAUUGGUGGCGAAGUAGAUCGCAGAAAGUAGAUCUUGUCUUCAUGUAUUGGCGUGAAGUAGAUCGAAGGUAGCAGAUCCUAUCUUUCUAUAUUGGUAGGAAGUGGAUCGAAGAUGCAGAUCUUGUCUUCCCAUAUUGAUGGCGAAGUAUAUCGCAGAAAGCAGAUCUUGUAUUCAUGUAUUUGUGUGAAGUAGAUCGAAGAUAGCAGGUCCUAUCUUCCUAUAUUGAUAGGAAGUGGAUCCAAUAUGCAGAUCUUGUCUUCCCAUAUUGGUGGCGAAGUAGAUCGCAAAAAGCAGAUCUUGUCUUCAUGUAUUGGCGUGAAGUAGAUCGAAGAUAGCAUGUCCUAUCUUCCUAUAUUAAUAGGAAGUGAAUCCAAGAUGCAGAUCUUGUCUUCCCAUACUGGUGGUUAAGUAGAUUGAAGAUUGCAGAUCUUGCCUUCCUGUAUUUGGCAGCGAAGCAGAUCAAAGAUGGCAAAUUUUACCUCUCUGAUCACAGUGGAGUACAUUGAAGCCGAUAACUCUAUCUCACUGUAUCUGGCAGUGGAAUAGAUUGAAUAUUACAGAUCUUGCCUUCCUGUAUUAGGCAGCGAAGCAGAUCGAAAAUGGCAGAUUUUACCUCCCUGUAACUACAGUGGAGUACAUUGAAGCCGAUAACUCUAUCUCCCUGUAUCUGGCAGUGGAAUAGAUUGAAGAUUGCAGAUCCUGCCUUCCUAUAUUGGUAGGAAGUGGAUUAAAAACAGACUAUCUCCCUGUAUUUAGCAGUGAAAUAGAUUGCAGGUCGAAGAUGACGGAUUUUACCUCUCCGAUUACAGUGGAGUACAUUAAAGCCAGUAGUUCUAUCUCCUUGGGCAACAGUGGAAUAGAUCGAAGAUUACAAUCUUAUCUCCCUAAGCAGUAGUAGAGUAGAUCGCAUUAAGUCUUAUCUCCCUAAGCAGUAGUGGAGCAGAUAAAACUACAGAUCUUAUUUCCCUAAGCAAUAGUGAAGCAGAUCGCAUCAAGUCUUAUCUCCCUAAGUAGUAGUGGAGCAGACUAAAAACACAAAUCUCAUCCCCAUGGAGUUGUAACAGAGUAGAUUGAAGCUACAAGGCGUAUCUGAAAUUGCAGUAGAGUGGAUCGAAGCAACAAGACGUAGCAGACUGAAAUAAGGCUACUGAAAGAAGAUAAGCACCAAAAAGUCAAGACUCGACAAGACCGGGCAAAAUUGGCCCUUUUGAUGUCUUUGAUCUAUUCUCGUUACACGAAGAUAAGCAGCUGUAAAGGCCCAAUUUUGGCCCAACUUAAACCAACCUAAUCCCAACCCAAACACAAAAAAUAAAUAAAUAAAUAAAUAAAAACCUUGGCCACCUACUCCACCACCUUUGUUGGCCACCCACCUUAGCCACCAACUCCACCACCCUUGGCCACCUAAACCACCCCAACCACUCCACUUGUAAAAUUUGGCUAUAAAAGCCAUUCAAGACUUUGUUUUUAGGGGGUGGCUUUUUGGUUUUUUGGAGAAAGAUUGUUCUUUAUUUUGGAGGAGGUUUUUUUGUUUUUUGGAGGUGUUUUUUUAUUUUUUGGAAAAAAGGUUAUUUUUGUUUCUUGGAAAGGCUAGUUUUUGGAGAUUAAUCAAAUAUCAAAGCAAAAGAGGUUUCUUUUGUCUAUUCUUAUCUUUUGUUCUUUGUUUGUUUAUUGUUUUCCUUUCAAUUUUAUUUUAUUUUUUUUAUACGAAAGUAAAAAUAAAAGUAAGAAGCUUACCCAUAUUUUCAUUAUGGAAAAAGGUUUUUUUGAGGUCCGGCCGCCGUGUACGGUGGCGCCGAUGGCGGCCCGUGGGGGUCCAUGACCGAAGCAAAGCCGGACCAACGGCCGAAUUUAGAAAAGAGGGAGAAAGAGAGUUGAGAGCUUUGUUUUAUUAUUUUAUUAUUUAUAUUAUUAUUA
This 14199-nucleotide long non-coding RNA is filed under the name Gossypium barbadense (sea-island cotton). RNAcentral's name for it is "long non-coding RNA (GBAR_LNC003982)". The record is from RNAcentral. Lineage: Eukaryota; Viridiplantae; Streptophyta; Magnoliopsida; Malvales; Malvaceae.